CCCGGCGGCAAUAGCAAACGGGUACCACCUGAAUCCAUCUCGAACUCAGAAGUGAAAACGUUUCGCGCCGAUGAUAGUGCGGAGAAAUUCCGUGUGAAAGUAGGUACUGCCGGGC
This 115-nucleotide ribosomal RNA is filed under the name Gammaproteobacteria bacterium. The record is from RNAcentral. Lineage: Bacteria; Pseudomonadati; Pseudomonadota; Gammaproteobacteria.